GAUGAACGCUAGCGGCAGGCCUAAUACAUGCAAGUCGAACGGGUUCCAGAUCAAAGCUUGCUUUGGUUUGGUGAGAGUGGCGCACGGGUGCGUAACGCGUGAGCAACCUACCCUUGUCAGGGGGAUAGCCCGGCGAAAGUCGGAUUAAUACCGCAUGACAUCAUUGAGAGGCAUCUUUCGAUGAUCAAAGAUUUAUCGGACAAGGAUGGGCUCGCGUGACAUUAGCUAGUUGGUAAGGUAACGGCUUACCAAGGCUACGAUGUCUAGGGGCUCUGAGAGGAGAAUCCCCCACACUGGUACUGAGACACGGACCAGACUCCUACGGGAGGCAGCAGUAAGGAAUAUUGGUCAAUGGACGGAAGUCUGAACCAGCCAUGCCGCGUGCAGGAAGACGGCCCUAUGGGUUGUAAACUGCUUUUAUACGGGAACAAACGUCGGUACGUGUACCGGUCUGAGUGUACCGUAAGAAUAAGGAUCGGCUAACUCCGUG
This 490-nucleotide ribosomal RNA is filed under the name uncultured bacterium. Its description in RNAcentral is "partial 16S ribosomal RNA". It matches the Rfam family "Bacterial small subunit ribosomal RNA", at positions 28 to 507 of the family's 1533-position model. The record is from RNAcentral.